Molecule: ribosomal RNA, 264 nt
Filed under: uncultured bacterium
Lineage: Bacteria
Description: partial 16S ribosomal RNA
Rfam family: Bacterial small subunit ribosomal RNA
Source: RNAcentral
GUCCACGCCGUAAACGUUGGGAACUAGGUGUGGGCGACAUUCCACGUCGUCCGUGCCGCAGCUAACGCAUUAAGUUCCCCGCCUGGGGAGUACGGCCGCAAGGCUAAAACUCAAAGGAAUUGACGGGGGCCCGCACAAGCAGCGGAGCAUGUGGCUUAAUUCGACGCAACGCGAAGAACCUUACCAAGGCUUGACAUACACCGGAAAACCCUGGAGACAGGGUCCCCCCUUGUGGUCGGUGUACAGGUGGUGCAUGGCUGUCGU